GUGGCUAUAGUUUAGCGGUAGAACAGCGGGUUGUGGUCCCGCUGGCCUGGGUUCGACUCCCAGUAGCCACCCCA
RNAcentral lists this transfer RNA (74 nucleotides) under Parcubacteria group bacterium. Its description in RNAcentral is "tRNA-His". It matches the Rfam family "tRNA". From Rfam's summary of the family: Transfer RNA (tRNA) molecules are approximately 80 nucleotides in length. Their secondary structure includes four short double-helical elements and three loops (D, anti-codon, and T loops). The record is from RNAcentral.